CUCUGCAAAGCCCUACAAACUGUUGUACUGGCAAAAUGAGGGAAUGAUGGAGGAAUGGAAAUGAGUAACCUGAGAUGACGGCAAGGACUACAUUGGGAGUGAAAUUCUGCUACAGAAAUGGGUAAUGUAAAGGUUUUUCAGUGCUGGAGUGAGAAUGAGUAGAAAGGAACAGAGUGCGAAGAGAAGAAUAAGAUAAAAAUGGAAAGCAGAAAUCCUGAGCUGGCCCCACUGAACAACGUGUUCAAACAGCUCUCACACCAACCUCAACUGAGAGAGUGGAUUUUAAAUAAAUAAAUAAAUAAAUAAAACAUUCUUUUUUAUGCUUUACUAUUUGCCACACUUGAGCGCACCUCUAAAAAAAGAUAAGUAAAAUAUUAAAAAGAUGUUUUAAAAGAAUAUAUAAAACCAGUGGAAGAAAGACAGGUAACCUUUGAUAUAAGGAACUUGUGAGAAGACACAUGGGAAUGUAAGAAAAAGUUGAACACAGAUGCUACAGUGGUAAAAAGAUGGAGUAGGAAGCUCAGUAAGCAACUGGGAGAGAACAGAGCCACAAAAUACACCAGCAAGAAUUAGCUUACUGGUUCUGAUGCCAAGGUGAAGAGGACAAAACCAAAAGAAAGACGUCUAAACAAUGUAAGAAGACAGUUUUUAUGUAAUAGAUAUUUGGCUGUAUAUUCUUCGAUCAAACAUGUUUGAUUAAAGUUAAUUUUACUAGA
Gallus gallus (chicken) is the source of this 716-nucleotide long non-coding RNA. RefSeq lists it as uncharacterized. The record is from RefSeq and is a predicted model, not a curated record. The transcript has 3 exons. NCBI's taxonomy places the organism in Eukaryota, Metazoa, Chordata, Aves, Galliformes, Phasianidae.